AAAUGUGUUGUCAUUCUGAUUAAGUGGUUCUCAACAGUUCAACAGUUCUUUGAGAAAAUUGUGAAAUGUUUAGGACCACUUGACCAGUCAGACAAAUGCUACCGUCUUU
Non-coding RNA from Oryzias latipes (Japanese medaka), 109 nucleotides. RefSeq annotates it as microRNA mir-203. The record is from RefSeq and is marked provisional. NCBI's taxonomy places the organism in Eukaryota, Metazoa, Chordata, Actinopteri, Beloniformes, Adrianichthyidae.